GUGAGAUGCAAAGCGCGGGGAGAAGUGGCGGGCAAAAAAAAAAAAAAACUUUCGCCGAUUCCGUCGCCCUCCAUUGCAGCCUGUCUCUUCCGCCGCCGCCAAGGUAUGGGUCGAGGUUGUGAUGGUCUCCCUGACUGCUUCGGUGAAGAAGAAGACGAGGGAAUGGGGAAUGGCAUGGAAGAUGUGGUUGGCAAUGUGAAGAAUGAAGCAGUUGAACAAGAAGAUACCACCGGCAGCAUCCCUAGCCCACUGUUAGCAAGGCCGAACAAAAGGCUUCGGGCUGAA
Molecule: long non-coding RNA, 285 nt
Organism: Panicum virgatum (switchgrass)
Lineage: Eukaryota; Viridiplantae; Streptophyta; Magnoliopsida; Poales; Poaceae
Exons: 3
Source: RefSeq, a predicted model, not a curated record